This 434-nucleotide ribosomal RNA is filed under the name uncultured bacterium. RNAcentral's name for it is "bacterial SSU rRNA". It matches the Rfam family "Bacterial small subunit ribosomal RNA", at positions 335 to 761 of the family's 1533-position model. The record is from RNAcentral.
ACUCCUACGGGAGGCAGCAGUGGGGAAUAUUGCACAAUGGGCGCAAGCCUGAUGCAGCCAUGCCGCGUGUGUGAAGAAGGCCUUCGGGUUGUAAAGCACUUUCAGCAGUGAGGAAGGCGGAGUCGUUAAUAGCGGCCUCGUUUGACGUUAGCUGCAGAAGAAGCACCGGCUAACUCCGUGCCAGCAGCCGCGGUAAUACGGAGGGUGCGAGCGUUAAUCGGAAUUACUGGGCGUAAAGCGCAUGCAGGUGGUUUGUUAAGUCAGAUGUGAAAGCCCGGGGCUCAACCUCGGAAUAGCAUUUGAAACUGGCAGACUAGAGUACUGUAGAGGGGGGUAGAAUUUCAGGUGUAGCGGUGAAAUGCGUAGAGAUCUGAAGGAAUACCGGUGGCGAAGGCGGCCCCCUGGACAGAUACUGACACUCAGAUGCGAAAGCU